RNAcentral lists this small RNA (735 nucleotides) under uncultured fungus. Its description in RNAcentral is "SSU rRNA". It matches the Rfam family "Eukaryotic small subunit ribosomal RNA", at positions 316 to 1064 of the family's 1831-position model. The record is from RNAcentral. Lineage: Eukaryota; Fungi.
AUCAACUUUCGAUGGUAGGAUAGAGGCCUACCAUGGUGGUAACGGGUAACGGGGUGUUAGGGCACGACACCGGAGAGGGAGCCUGAGAAACGGCUACCACAUCCAAGGAUGGCAGCAGGCGCGCAAAUUACCCAAUCCCGACACGGGGAGGUAGUGACAAUAAAUAACAAUACGGGGUUCUUUCGGAUCUCGUAAUUGGAAUGAGUACAAUUUAAAUCUCUUAACGAGGAACAAUUGGAGGGCAAGUCUGGUGCCAGCAGCCGCGGUAAUUCCAGCUCCAAUAGCGUAUAUUAAAGUUGUUGCAGUUAAAAAGCUCGUAGUUGAAUUUCGGGGUUAGUAAGUUGGUCGUGCCUUCGGUAUGUACUGGCUUUACUGAUUCCUCCUUCUUGUAGAACCUUAAUGCCAUUAAUUUGGUGUUGUGGGGRARCAGGACUGUUACUUUGAAAAAAUUAGAGUGUUUAAAGCAAGCUAACGCUUGAAUACAUUAGCAUGGAAUAAUGAAAUAGGACGAUUGAUCCUAUUUUGUUGGUUUCUAGGAUUGACGUAAUGAUUAAUAGGGAUAGUUGGGGGCAUUAGUAUUCAAUUGUCAGAGGUGAAAUUCUUGGAUUUAUUGAAGACUAACUACUGCGAAAGCAUUUGCCAAGGAUGUUUUCAUUAAUCAAGAACGAARGUUAGGGGAUCGAAGACGAUCAGAUACCGUCGUAGUCUUAACCAUAAACUAUGCCGACUAGGGAU